AACGUAGGAGGCGAGCGUUAUCCGGAUUUACUGGGUGUAAAGCGCGUGCAGGCGGUUGGCUAAGUUGGAUGUGAAAGCUCCUGGCUCAACUGGGAGAGGUCGUUCAAUACUGGCCGACUUGAGAGCAGUAGGGGAAGGUGGAAUUCCGGGAGUAGUGGUGAAAUGCGUAGAUAUCCGGAGGAACACCAGUGGCGAAAGCGGCCUUCUGGACUGCAUCUGACGCUCAGACGCGAAAGCUAGGGUAGCAAACGGG
Molecule: ribosomal RNA, 253 nt
Filed under: uncultured bacterium
Lineage: Bacteria
Description: partial 16S ribosomal RNA
Rfam family: Bacterial small subunit ribosomal RNA
Source: RNAcentral